ACCGGAUACAAUCCAUAUAAUAGAACACCUAGAUACCAGUAUGGUAAUGGUCAUGUUAUUAGAAAAAGAUCAAAUAGAUUUACUUAUGCUCAGCUCCGGGCCCUUGUUACUCCAUAUAACCGGCCUUAUCCUACGUAUUCUGGAAGAUUUGCUUAUAACAACAGAAGACGGUUUAGACCUAACAGAUACCAAGCUUACCGCCGAUACAAUGUCGAGCAAACGCCUAGAAAUUAUAAAUCUGAAUUAAAGAAACCCAUUGUUCAAAGAGCGGUUAAAUUGUCUUUUAAACAACUGCGAAAACUUGCAACCCCAUACCACCGAGAAACUCGAAGAUAUCCUGGCUACAGACCAUAUAAUAGAACACCUAGAUACCAGUAUGGUAAUGGUCAUGUCAUUAGAAAAAGAUCAAAUAGAUUUACUUAUGCUCAGCUUCAAGCCCUUGUUACUCCAUACAACCGGCCUUAUCCUACUUAUCCUGGAGCCGUUGCUUACAAUCGCCAAAGUGGAUACACACCCUACAGAUAUGGAGUUCAUAAUGGAUACAGCCCGUAUGCAAAUAAUUUUAACCCUUACACUGCUAGAAGUUUGACCAAUCUCAGAUUUGCCGCUCAAGGAUAUCAUUACGGUUCUCCUCAUUACCGCCAUAAAAGAUCGUAUCGUGUAGAACCACAGAUGAUGAAAAUGGUAGAACCUAUUGGUGAAGUAUGUCCAGCAACUAUGAACGAUCUUCGUGUAUUCUCAGCUUAUAGUGGAAAUUGUUGGGUUAUAGAACCAACUCAACAGAUGAUUAAAUACGCUACAUGCGGUCAUGAUGAAUGUGAGAGCUGUAAGGUUUCUGGAAAUGGAGUAAGUAAAUGUACAGAGAAUUACAGUUGGGUAUCAAUGUGGGCUUAUUGUGAUAAUUUACCACAGGACAAGAAGAUCAGAGAAAUAGAAUUAUAUUUACCACAAUCCUGUAGCUGUAAAUCUUACCAGUGUUAAAACACGUUUAUUGAUGGACUUGAUCUAAUCAUGUCCCAAUCCUCUUAG
Patella vulgata (common limpet) is the source of this 1029-nucleotide long non-coding RNA. RefSeq lists it as uncharacterized. The transcript has 6 exons. The record is from RefSeq and is a predicted model, not a curated record. NCBI's taxonomy places the organism in Eukaryota, Metazoa, Mollusca, Gastropoda, Patellidae.